UAAAUUGAUUGUAUCACAUGCAUGUUUCAUUUCUUCCUACUUAGUUAUGCUCUGAUCGAUCUGCUUAUCGCAAAUGGCUUAUGCUGCUGUAACUUCGCUUAAAGGAACACUCUAUCUACACUUCUUGCAAUCACAACCACGCUUGUCUCUUCAAGUCAAACAAGAGAUAGUUAAUUCUCUCCAUGAAAAUCUUGGUUUCCUCCUAGAAAUUCUUGAGAAAUCUGAGAUCGCCUAUAAUAAUUCGGCGAUGAAAGAUUUAGAGGCAGAGAUGAGAGAUGUAGCCUUCGAAGCUGAAGCAAGGAUUGAGAUGGAGUUGAGAAGCAUAUAUCUAGCAAAGGGUUGGACAAAGCGUAUUCGUAUAAAGGCUUCCCUCCUUAGGCUUCGUGGAAUCUUGAAUGAAGCAGUAAAACAGACUGAUUACCUCAAGAAGAAGUUGAUUAAAAUUAGUGCAAAGCAGCUUGCAAAGGGCCCAUCACAAGGUGAAAGGAUCACUGACGUUUCACUCCUUGGUCGGAUGCGACAAAGAGGACUACUCCAUGGUUCAACAUCAUCACAGCCUGAUCUAGAACGCGAGAAUAAUAUUACUGGGAGUAAAUUUUCCAAAAACGCUUCAAUAAAGUUUGGCAGUAGAAUGGUCGGAUGCAACGAGGAGUUCAAGACGAUAAUGGAUCAGCUCACCAAACAAUCAGCAAAGCAGCUACAAGUUGUAUCAAUCGUAGGCAUGGGCGGAAUAGGCAAGACCACUUUAACUCGCAAAGUUUAUGAAGAUUCAUCAAUUAUUUCUCAUUUUUACAUGCGAGCAUGGGUUACAGUAUCUCAAGAGCAUAAUCUGCCACAAAUGCUCCAAUGCCUUCUUGGUUGUGUUAGCGCAUCAAGUGAUGAACAAAGCAACAAUGACGACCAAGGCCAAUUAGCAAAUCGUCUACGCAAACACUUGAAGGAACAAAGAUAUUUGAUAGUGAUGGAUGAUAUAUGGAGCUCUACUGCUUGGGAUAGUGUGCAAAGGUGCUUUCCAAAUGAUAAUAAUGGAAGCCGGAUACUAUUGACUUCUCGGCUCAGGGAGGUGGCUGAAUAUGCAAGUUCAGGUAACGCUAUCAUUAACAUGCCUUUCUUAGAUGUCGAUAAAAGUUGGAAUCUCUUUUGCAAUGUGUUUGGUCAAACGAAAUUUCAUUCAGUGUUUGAGCAAAUUGGUAGAGACAUAGUGAGAAAAUGUAAUGGAUUGCCUCUAGCUAUUACUGUAAUAGCUAGUCUUCUCUCCAAGACAGAGGUGGCAGUGGAGAAGUGGGAUAAUGUUGCAGAAAAUGUGAGUAGAUAUGUAAUUGGUGAUUCUAAUGAUGCAUGUUCCAAAAUACUAUAUUUGAGUUACAACCAAUUACCACACCACUUAAAAGCUUGUUUUCUAUAUUUUGGAGUUUUUCGAGAAGACUAUGAGAUCCCAGUAAAGAAGUUAGUUAGGUUAUGGACGGCAGAGGGAUUUUUGAGGGCAGUGGACCAUCAAAAUAUGGAGGAAGUGGCCAUGGAAUGCUUGCAAGAUCUUGUUGAUAGAAGUCUUGUUUUUGUUAGCAAACAGAGCUACAACGGGAAGACGAAGGCAAUAAGAAUACAUGACCUGUUGCGUGAUUUGUGUUUGAGAGAAGCUCGACUUGAAAAUCUCUUGAAUGCCAUUAGAGAUGAAAAACUUCCAUUUUACAAGAAGAAAAUCUCUUGUCGUUGGAUAACUGCUACAUCUUGGUUUCAUCUACGUGCUUUGACAAAGUGCUUUCACAAAUCACAUUCCUUCCACUCUCAUUAUGUUUUUUACUAUUUCAACUUUGCAAGUAUGCUACGUCUAUUUUCACACUUCAAACUACUAAGAGUAGUAGACAUAGAGUGUAUAUCUUCCCAUGAAUUUGGGGUACUACAUGUUCUUGCAAAUCUUAUUCAUUUGAGAUACUUAGCUUUGAGGUAUUCUAGAGAUAUUUUUCCCAUAUGUUUUUGUUUAGAGCUCUUUGAGCAUUCGAAUAUCCAAACCUUUAUUGUUCCUGGAUGUCGUGCUAUAGUGGAUUCCUCUAAGGCAUAUGGAAUUUGGAAAAUGCCACUAUUAAGGAAUUUUUGUGUUGAUCGGAUUUUUUCAUUAGGAAAUUUGUCAUUUGUUCAUACAAACUUAGAGCGUAUAUCUUUGUUGGAUUCUAAGCUUUGUACAAAGGAUCUGUUUACAAGGAUUCCAAAUUUAAAAAAAUUGGGGAUUGAUGGUGGAUACAUUGAAAACAAUCUUAGAUUGUUUUUAUAAUUUUGUGCACUUGGGACAGCUUGAGGAGCUAAGCAUCAAAGAGUGGUCUAAUCUCAACCAUAUUCCAUGUAGCGGCAUUCCAUGGGGAACUAGUUUUCUACAAAAUCUUAAGAAGCUCAAAUUCUUCUUGACUUAUUUGACAUGGAGUGAUAUAAGGCUUUUUGGUAUGUUGCCGAAUCUAGAAGUUCUAAAGCUGAAACGUGCUAUUGCUAGCAACGACAUAACGUGGGAGCCAUCCGAGGAAGGAUUCCGUCAAUUGAAAAGAUUGGUAAUUGAAGAUACAUUUUUGGAACAUUGGAAUGCCGUGGGUGACCAUUUCCCUCUGCUAGAAUGUUUAGAGUUACGCGAAUGCAAGCAUUUGCGAGAGAUCCCUAGUGGUUUUGCCGAUAUCACUACACUAGCACUGAUUCAAUUGAACCGUUGUUGGGAUUCUGUUCUGGUUUCGGCAAAGUUGAUUCAAGAAAAGCAAUACAGCAACUAUGGAAAUGCCCUCCUUGUUCGUUCGGAAAGUAUUAUGACAGAAGGUGUAAACAACUCAGAGGAAGAGAGUGAUGAAUGGAUGACUGCAUAGUGGUUUUUGCAUUUGUUUAUUGUGGAUGCUUUGGCGGAUUAGGCAGGUAAAGUGCAAUGGAUGCUGUGGUUUUUUUGUUGGAUUACUCAGGAAUUUACGCACUGUAUUGCACCAUGUACCAUUAUGGUGAGCUGAAAUGGUUUCUGCUUCUCGGAACUGAUUUUUUUUUUUUCUUUUAACUGUAAAUGAAAUGAAGUUGUAUUGUUUGGCCAUGACACAUAUGAUGCACAUAUAUGCUAUAUUACAACAUAGGAAUGAAUGGACCUACUUUAUCUUU
RNA transcript from Ipomoea triloba (trilobed morning glory), 3117 nucleotides. It is a transcript of the gene named putative late blight resistance protein homolog R1B-16, with no coding region annotated. Lineage: Eukaryota; Viridiplantae; Streptophyta; Magnoliopsida; Solanales; Convolvulaceae. The transcript is spliced from 2 exons. The record is from RefSeq and is a predicted model, not a curated record.